AGGGUGUUUUCGGUGAGAAUCUGCUGAUCAAGGAACUGGUUUAUCAUCCCUUCGAGGCGUCCCAAACGUCUGCUGAUCCUCAAGUUGUCCUCUUGCUGACUAGGGUUCUGCAAUGGAGGAUUACAGGCGUGUGGCUCGAAGUAGGUUGGAGGAGGGCCAUAAGGAUCUUCCCGGCGUCGAAUAGUCUCUCUGCGCCGGUGGUAAGGGUGGUUUGGCUGGCUGUA
Molecule: long non-coding RNA, 224 nt
Filed under: Eutrema salsugineum
Lineage: Eukaryota; Viridiplantae; Streptophyta; Magnoliopsida; Brassicales; Brassicaceae
Description: long non-coding RNA (ESAL_LNC001231)
Source: RNAcentral